RNAcentral lists this ribosomal RNA (253 nucleotides) under uncultured bacterium. Its description in RNAcentral is "partial 16S ribosomal RNA". It matches the Rfam family "Bacterial small subunit ribosomal RNA", at positions 524 to 776 of the family's 1533-position model. The record is from RNAcentral.
UACGAAGGGGGCUAGCGUUGUUCGGAAUCACUGGGCGUAAAGCGCACGUAGGUGGAUCUUUAAGUCAGGGGUGAAAUCCCGAGGCUCAACCUCGGAACUGCCUUUGAUACUGGGGAUCUCGAGUCCGGGAGAGGUGAGUGGAACUGCGAGUGUAGAGGUGAAAUUCGUAGAUAUUCGCAAGAACACCAGUGGCGAAGGCGGCUCACUGGCCCGGAACUGACGCUGAGGUGCGAAAGCGUGGGGAGCAAACAGG